This is a non-coding RNA of Pelobates cultripes (western spadefoot toad), 227 nucleotides long. The record is from the annotation of a GenBank genome assembly. NCBI's taxonomy places the organism in Eukaryota, Metazoa, Chordata, Amphibia, Anura, Pelobatidae.
GCUUACAAGACAAACAUACCAAAAUUCUAAAAUCGCUCCACAUUAAAAGUUUAUUUUACUCCUUGUGCUUUGUGACCUGUAACUACCAAAAAAAACUUAAAAUCUCAGACACAUUAUAUAUUCUGUAAAUCAGAACAACUAAAUGAAUUUAUUUUAAAUUACUUUCCUUAACCUGCACUAAUUAAGCACACAUUAUUAUAAUGUGUACAUUAUACUGUAAAAAAAAC